RNAcentral lists this ribosomal RNA (452 nucleotides) under Apanteles sp. 47 SY-2016. RNAcentral describes it as "partial 16S ribosomal RNA". Lineage: Eukaryota; Metazoa; Arthropoda; Insecta; Hymenoptera; Braconidae. RNAcentral also lists the same sequence under 1 other name. The record is from RNAcentral.
UUUCAAAAACAUGUCUUAUUGAAUAUAAUUUUAAGUCAAAUCUGCUCAAUGAAUAAAUUUAAAUAGCUGCAGUAUCAAUAACUGUACAAAGGUAGCAUAAUAAUUAGUUUUUUAAUUAAAAACUUGAAUGAAUGAUUUAAUGAAAAAUAAACUGUCUCAAAAUUAUUAAAUAAAUUUAUUUUUUAAGUAAAAAAACUUAAAUUAAUAUUAAAGACGAGAAGACCCUAAAGAAUUUUUAUACUUUAUAAAUUUAUUAAUUAAUAUAAUUUAUAAAUUAUUUUAAUUGGGGAAAUUUUAAAAUUUAAUUAAUUUUUAAUUAAAUUAAACAUUUAUUUUUGAAUAAAUUAACUUUUUUUAAAAAAACAAAUUUAAAUUACCUUAGGGAUAACAGCAUAAUUUUUUUAAAAAGUUCAAAUUUAUAAAAAAGUUUAUGACCUCGAUUUUGAAUAAGA